RNAcentral lists this ribosomal RNA (497 nucleotides) under uncultured bacterium. Its description in RNAcentral is "partial 16S ribosomal RNA". It matches the Rfam family "Bacterial small subunit ribosomal RNA", at positions 28 to 507 of the family's 1533-position model. The record is from RNAcentral.
GAUGAACGCUGGCGGCGUGCCUAAUACAUGCCAGUCGAGCGAACGGACGAGAAGCUUGCUCCUCUGAUGUUAGCGGCGGACGGGUGAGUAACACGUGGAUAACCUACCUAUAAGACUGGGAUAACUUCGGGAAACCGGAGCUAAUACCGGAUAAUAUUUUGAACCGCAUGGUUCAAAAGUGAAAGACGGUUUUGCUGUCACUUAUAGAUGGAUCCGCGCUGCAUUAGCUAGUUGGUAAGGUAACGGCUUACCAAGGCAACGAUGCAUAGCCGACCUGAGAGGGUGAUCGGCCACACUGGAACUGAGACACGGUCCAGACUCCUACGGGAGGCAGCAGUAGGGAAUCUUCCGCAAUGGGCGAAAGCCUGACGGAGCAACGCCGCGUGAGUGAUGAAGGUCUUCGGAUCGUAAAACUCUGUUAUUAGGGAAGAACAUAUGUGUAAGUAACUGUGCACAUCUUGACGGUACCUAAUCAGAAAGCCACGGCUAACUACGUG